GCCGAAGUGGUGGAAUUGGCAGACACGCUAGCUUGAGGGGUUAGUGGCCGCAAGGCUGUGGGGGUUCGAGUCCCCCCUUCGGCA
RNAcentral lists this transfer RNA (84 nucleotides) under Acidobacteriota bacterium. RNAcentral describes it as "Acidobacteria bacterium (anaerobic digester metagenome) tRNA-Leu". It matches the Rfam family "tRNA". From Rfam's summary of the family: Transfer RNA (tRNA) molecules are approximately 80 nucleotides in length. Their secondary structure includes four short double-helical elements and three loops (D, anti-codon, and T loops). The record is from RNAcentral. RNAcentral also lists the same sequence under 2 other names. Lineage: Bacteria; Pseudomonadati; Acidobacteriota.